CACAAACCGGUGCUAAAGGGUCCCUGUCCCGACAGCACCUGUCAGUAGCCGUUGGGCAGGACCCUUUAGCACCGGUUCGUGUUACGAACCGGUGUUAAAGGGGCCUUUAACCCCGGGCCGCAAAAAGGCCGAGGUUUUUGGCCAUUUUGGGCAUCGACCAAUGCCUCAUUCUGUAGUAGUGUGACUACUCCUUUGUGUAGAGAUAUUUCUUUUUUUUAAUCAGAAUAUGCUAGUUAGGGAUCACGUGAUAGCAAUGCAUCACACCGGAAAAUGCAGGGUUUGCAAGAACAAGUCCUGGUUCUUUUUCCUCUACUUAAUGG
RNAcentral lists this long non-coding RNA (320 nucleotides) under Sorghum bicolor (sorghum). RNAcentral describes it as "long non-coding RNA (SBIC_LNC008010)". The stretch from base 1 to 88 matches the Rfam family "MIR5387 microRNA precursor family". The record is from RNAcentral. Lineage: Eukaryota; Viridiplantae; Streptophyta; Magnoliopsida; Poales; Poaceae.